RNAcentral lists this ribosomal RNA (497 nucleotides) under uncultured bacterium. RNAcentral's name for it is "bacterial SSU rRNA". It matches the Rfam family "Bacterial small subunit ribosomal RNA", at positions 355 to 867 of the family's 1533-position model. The record is from RNAcentral.
UGGGGAAUCUUGGACAAUGGGGGCAACCCUGAUCCAGCCAUGCCGCGUGAGUGAUGAAGGCCUUAGGGUCGUAAAGCUCUUUCGCCUGUGAAGAUAAUGACGGUAGCAGGUAAAGAAACCCCGGCUAACUCCGUGCCAGCAGCCGCGGUAAUACGGAGGGGGUUAGCGUUGUUCGGAAUUACUGGGCGUAAAGCGCACGUAGGCGGACCAGAAAGUUGGGGGUGAAAUCCCGGGGGCUCAACCCCGGAACUGCCUCCAAAACUAUUGGUCUAGAGUUCGAGAGAGGUGAGUGGAAUUCCAAGUGUAGAGGUGAAAUUCGUAGAUAUUUGGAGGAACACCAGUGGCGAAGGCGGCUCACUGGCUCGAUACUGACGCUGAGGUGCGAAAGUGUGGGGAGCAAACAGGAUUAGAUACCCUGGUAGUCCACGCCGUAAAACGAUGUCUGCUAGUCGUUGGGGGGCGUAGCCCUUCAGUGACGCCGCUAACGCAUUAAGCAG